Molecule: ribosomal RNA, 431 nt
Filed under: uncultured archaeon
Lineage: Archaea
Description: bacterial SSU rRNA
Rfam family: Archaeal small subunit ribosomal RNA
Source: RNAcentral
UACCAGCUCUCCGAGUGGUAGGGAUGUUUAUUGGGCUUAAAGCGUCCGUAGCCGGCUUAGCAAGUCUCCUGUUAAAUUCAGCGACCUAAUCGUUGAGCCGCGGGAGAUACUACUAGGCUAGGAGGCGGGAGAGGUCAACGGUACUUCCGGGGUAGGGGUGAAAUCCUAUAAUCCCGGGAGGACCACCAGUGGCGAAGGCUGUUGACUAGAACGCGCUCGACGGUGAGGGACGAAAGCUGGGGGAGCGAACCGGAUUAGAUACCCGGGUAGUCCCAGCUGUAAACGAUGCGAGCUAGGUGUUGGGGUGGCUACGUGCCACUUCAGUGCCGCAGGGAAGCCAUUAAGCUCGCCCGCCGUGGGGAGUACGGCCGCAAGGCUAGAAACUUAAAGGAAUUGGCGGGGAGCACCACAAGGCGUGAAGCUUGCGGUUC